RNAcentral lists this ribosomal RNA (253 nucleotides) under uncultured bacterium. RNAcentral's name for it is "partial 16S ribosomal RNA". It matches the Rfam family "Bacterial small subunit ribosomal RNA", at positions 524 to 776 of the family's 1533-position model. The record is from RNAcentral.
UACGUAGGGUGCGAGCGUUGUCCGGAAUUAUUGGGCGUAAAGGGCUCGUAGGCGGUCUGUCGCGUCGGUAGUGAAAACUCAGGGCUUAACCCUGAGCCUGCUUCCGAUACGGGCAGACUAGAGGUAUGCAGGGGAGAAUGGAAUUCCUGGUGGAGCGGUGAAAUGCGUAGAUAUCGUUUGGAACGCCAAUGGUGAAAACAGGUUGCUGGGAGUGUGCUGACGCUGAGACACGAAAGCCAGGGGAGCAAACGGG